GUUCCUGUGGCGCAAUGGAUAGCGCGUUGGACUUCUAAUUCAAAGGUCGUGGGUUCGAAUGCCACCUGGGACG
This 73-nucleotide transfer RNA is filed under the name Trichonephila clavata. It matches the Rfam family "tRNA". From Rfam's summary of the family: Transfer RNA (tRNA) molecules are approximately 80 nucleotides in length. Their secondary structure includes four short double-helical elements and three loops (D, anti-codon, and T loops). Lineage: Eukaryota; Metazoa; Arthropoda; Arachnida; Araneae; Nephilidae. The record is from Rfam by way of RNAcentral.